AACGAACGCUGGCGGCAUGCCUAACACAUGCAAGUCGAACGAGACCUUCGGGUCUAGUGGCGCACGGGUGCGUAACGCGUGGGAACCUGCCCUUAGGUUCGGAAUAACUCCCCGAAAGGGGUGCUAAUACCGGAUAAUGUCUUCGGACCAAAGAUUUAUCGCCUUUGGGUGGGCCCGCGUUGGAUUAGCUAGUUGGUAGGGUAAAAGCCUAACCAGGCGACGAUCCAUAGCUGGUCGGAGAGGAGGAUCAGCCAAACUGGGACGGGGAACCGGCCCAAACCCCACGGGAGGGCAGAAGGGGGGAAAUAGGAACAAGGGGCGAAAGCCGAAGCCAGUACGCCCGUGAAAGUGAGUAAUGCCUGAGGAAUAAAAGGCUAUUUUACCCGGGAUGUAAAGAAGGUAACCGGUAAAAAAGCCACGGCUAACCCCGUG
This 432-nucleotide ribosomal RNA is filed under the name uncultured bacterium. RNAcentral's name for it is "partial 16S ribosomal RNA". It matches the Rfam family "Bacterial small subunit ribosomal RNA", at positions 29 to 507 of the family's 1533-position model. The record is from RNAcentral.